UCCUGAAAUGUGAGAGUGUGCCAAAGC
This 27-nucleotide non-coding RNA is filed under the name Mus musculus (house mouse). The record is from RNAcentral. Lineage: Eukaryota; Metazoa; Chordata; Mammalia; Rodentia; Muridae.